This 492-nucleotide ribosomal RNA is filed under the name uncultured bacterium. RNAcentral describes it as "partial 16S ribosomal RNA". It matches the Rfam family "Bacterial small subunit ribosomal RNA", at positions 29 to 507 of the family's 1533-position model. The record is from RNAcentral.
AUUGAACGCUGGCGGCAUGCUUUACACAUGCAAGUCGAACGGUAACAGGCCUUCGGGUGCUGACGAGUGGCGAACGGGUGAGUAAUGCAUCGGAACGUGCCCAGAGGUGGGGGAUAACGCAGCGAAAGCUGGGCUAAUACCGCAUGUGAUCUGAGGAUGAAAGCGGGGGACCAAGCAGCAAUGUUUGGCCUCGCGCCUCUGGAGCGGCCGAUGUCAGAUUAGGUAGUUGGUGGGGUAAAGGCCUACCAAGCCGACGAUCUGUAGCUGGUCUGAGAGGACGAGCAGCCACACUGGGACUGAGACACGGCCCAGACUCCUACGGGAGGCAGCAGUGGGGAAUGUUGGACAAUGGGCGCAAGCCUGAUCCAGCAAUGCCGCGUGCGGGAAGAAGGCCUUCGGGUUGUAAACCGCUUUUGUACGGAACGAAAAGGCUCUGGCUAAUACCUGGGGCUGAUGACGGUACCGUAAGAAUAAGCACCGGCUAACUACGUG